UUAAUGUUGAAUACUUAAUCACUACAUCACAUGAAGCUUGAUUGUGGGGAAUAACUUGCCAAAAUAUAUUUAGUUUAUGCUUUUCUUUCCUGUCUCAAUCAUCUAAAAAUAUUCUUUGCAUACCUUCUGUUAAAAAUAAAAUUGUUUUCUCACAAAUAGUUUAUGGCAGUAGAGAAUUGUAUUUGCAUGCUGGGAUUUUUGCUGUUGUGAAUUCUCUGUUUUAAGAUAUGGAUAGGGGAGAACUACAGUAUGCUCUGGACAUUGGAUGUUUACUGGACACACCAUUAGAUGCGUCCCAAUUAGGAAGUCUUCUAUGCCUUAAAUUGGCUUGAUCAAGUGAUUUCUGAGUAUGGAAGACAUCAUCAAUUGUGGAAGAAUCAUCAAAACUUGUGUGAAUAAUGGUUUUAACAUAUAAAAGAACAACUAGAAGUAGAUUUUAAUUAUCUGUUAUUUGUUUGGCCUAUUGCAUUUAUAAAGCAUACUCUGGCUACAAUAUCAUCAAGCCACUUGAUAUCAAAUGGAGGCAGCAGUUCUUUUACUGAUCCCCACAGUGGUUCUAUUCCCACUACAGUGGAGAUGGUGGAGAAUGCAACUGGCGUUCCAGCAGCUGUAUUAUCUUCUUCUUCUGGGUUUCUACAUUCUUCCAGGGCAAUUACUUCGAGCAUGCAACAUUCAUUUACUACAGGGUUUGGUU
Non-coding RNA from Camellia sinensis, 694 nucleotides. The record is from RefSeq and is a predicted model, not a curated record. NCBI's taxonomy places the organism in Eukaryota, Viridiplantae, Streptophyta, Magnoliopsida, Ericales, Theaceae.